This 98-nucleotide ribosomal RNA is filed under the name uncultured bacterium. RNAcentral describes it as "partial 16S ribosomal RNA". The record is from RNAcentral.
CACACCGCCGUCACGCCAUGGAAGUGGCGAGGCGCCGAAGUCCGUGUCGGAACCCGCAAGGGACCAAGCGGCCGAAGGCGAGCGUCAUGACUGGGGCG